UAAAAUAAAACAAAAAUAAAGGGAGGUCAAUUAAAGCACUACAGCUUAUAAUAGUACAUAUAGUACUAGAAGCUAGGGGUGAAGCCUCUUCAAAGCGGAGGGGUUUAAAUUUCGGUGUUUGAUAAUCCCCUAGGCUUUUGUUUCUGGGAAAAAACAAAACCAAAACAAUAACACCACAAAACAAGGGAACUUCACCCACUGCCUAAUCGCACCAUAACAACUACAAUAUGCCUUUAUUGGAGUAUUCCUUUAAAAGCAAAAGUUCUAAGUUGUGGCAUUGCUCAUCAGUUACAUUCUGUGCCCUUUGCUUCUUUGUAGAAAAAAAAAAAAGAACCAGUCGCAGUGUUUUUAUUGAGUGCUUUAUAACACGUGUACAUCAACUGCUCCACAUCCUGCUAAAUUAAUUUACAAGCAAUUUUAAAUAGAUCAAAAUACAACUUUUUUUGUUCAUUCAGAAAGUCCUCUGUGGGGAAAACACAGUCUUGUUCUCCACAGUGAAUCUUGAUUUCAAAUGUUAUAUUAUAAAAGUUUGUUCCCUGGAGCAUGCACCCGCCAUGAAAGACUUUUAAGUACAAAAAAAAUCAAAUCUUAACCAAAAAUACAUAUUUAACACUAAACCUACAUAUAGAAGAGGCAAAUUAAAAAGUACUAAUUGUAACCUCAAAAAAAUUAUAAAAACAAAACAAAAAAAACACAAAUAUUGAUACAAGGCUUUCAAACAAAGCUCUAUACUAUCACAUAUUCAAUAUUUCUUGCACAGAAACUAAAACUCCCUAUUAAUUUUGUGGGGAAAUUCAAGUUAAUAAGGUUUUAAUAAAAAAAGAACAUACAGUAUUUUGUCACAAAAUGUUUCAACAUAAUAAAAAAGUCAAGAAAAGAGCUAUUGAUGCACUUAGUGAAUGUGCUUGCACAGGUCCUCCAUGUUAAAUUCCUAUGUUGCGUAUCUCUUGGUCCACUGUCUGGCCAUUCGGUCAUGCUCCCCUCUGUUAGUCAUGUACUGAGUAGCGAUACUUCCAACGAGGGGGUCAGCUAUAAAAGAAAGAAAACAUGUUAUUUUAACAAAUUCAUUUUUUUAGAACUAAUUAGGAGUUUUAGAACUUUUUUCUACAGCCUCAGCCACAUCUGCUGUUGCAGAACGCUUGCGCCUGGGGACUCUUUUCCUGGUGUCCCUGGGUGUAGGACCAUGACAUUGGGAUUGUCCUGCUGAAGGUGUUUUAUACAGAACAAUAUUAAUAAUCUGUGUACAGAACAGUUUCUAAAUUAUAUUCCCUGUGACGGUCCUUCAGUUCACAAAGUCUGCAGUCUCGAUAGUAGUAAUCCAGACUCUAUGACUGUUUGACUCCACUCUCUCUUUUGCUCAUUUCUGCUGAAUUUUCAUUUAGAUCACACUCCCAGAUCGUACAUUUUUAAACACAAUGAGAGGGGAGGGCGCUGUACCAGACAAACAGAGGUGCAAAGUCCCCAGGUAUAUUUUACACUGUGUAUGUACAAUAUAUUGCGCUCACAUGGAUGGUAAGUGGAUAUCAGCACCAAGACUAGGCAUUAAACUAACGUAAAAGCAUAUAUUGUAAAUAAUUAAGUCUUUUUUUGCUAAUUGAAUACGGUUUUAUGUGUCAUGGGGAAAAAAAGGAGGAAAAGAUUGAAUGUGGCCUCGUUGUCUCAAAACAAAACUUUAAGGGCGUUAAAUAUAGUUGGCCGUGGAGAUAAUUUUCUACACACAUUUCUAAUUACAUUUGUAACAUCUUGGCUUUAUAGGUGGUUGUCAACAACACUCGGAAGAGUAUUUCUAUUGAUGCAAGUGCUUCUCUCAAACUGGCAAUGGUAAUAAAGUCCUGUAGUGCUUGUUUGUAAUCUUUUUAUUAGGUUUUAAAUCGCACAUGCCUUAUACAUUGUUUAGAAAUAAAACUCAGUAUAGCAUGGGUAUCUUAUGAGACAUUUUACAUUUUUAGAUGCUUUCACUUUAAAGUGGACCAGUCAUCCGCUAAUUGGUGGCAAUGUCAACCUUGUGUAAUAUAUAAAACAUAAUCGUAUAUUGCUGAUGAAUGUUUCAGUUU
This 2054-nucleotide long non-coding RNA is filed under the name Pelobates cultripes (western spadefoot toad). Lineage: Eukaryota; Metazoa; Chordata; Amphibia; Anura; Pelobatidae. The record is from RNAcentral.